AGUGCAGAAGAGGAGAGUGGAAUUCCACGUGUAGCGGUGAAAUGCGUAGAGAUGUGGAGGAACACCAGUGGCGAAGGCGACUCUCUGGUCUGUAACUGACGCUGAGGCGCGAAAGCGUGGGGAGCGAACAGGAUUAGAUACCCUGGUAGUCCACGCCGUAAACGAUGAGUGCUAAGUGUUAGAGGGUUUCCGCCCUUUAGUGCUGCAGCAAACGCAUUAAGCACUCCGCCUGGGGAGUACGGUCGCAAGACUGAAACUCAAAGGAAUUGACGGGGGCCCGCACAAGCGGUGGAGCAUGUGGUUUAAUUCGAAGCAACGCGAAGAACCUUACCAGGUCUUGACAUCCUCUGACAACCCUAGAGAUAGGGCUUCCCCUUCGGGGGCAGAGUGACAGGUGGUGCAUGGUUGUCGUCAGCUCGUGUCGUGAGAUGUUGGGUUAAGUCCCGCAACGAGCGCAACCCUUGAUCUUAGUUGCCAGCAUUCAGUUGGGCACUCUAAGGUGACUGCCGGUGACAAACCGGAGGAAGGUGGGGAUGACGUCAAAUCAUCAUGCCCCUUAUGACCUGGGCUACACACGUGCUACAAUGGGCAGAACAAAGGGCAGCGAAGCCGCGAGGCUAAGCCAAUCCCACAAAUCUGUUCUCAGUUCGGAUCGCAGUUUGCAACUA
This 668-nucleotide ribosomal RNA is filed under the name Bacillus sp. GUS1. RNAcentral's name for it is "bacterial SSU rRNA". It matches the Rfam family "Bacterial small subunit ribosomal RNA", at positions 645 to 1313 of the family's 1533-position model. Lineage: Bacteria; Bacillati; Bacillota; Bacilli; Caryophanales; Bacillaceae. The record is from RNAcentral.